RNAcentral lists this long non-coding RNA (487 nucleotides) under Carica papaya (papaya). RNAcentral describes it as "long non-coding RNA (CPAP_LNC009208)". The record is from RNAcentral. Lineage: Eukaryota; Viridiplantae; Streptophyta; Magnoliopsida; Brassicales; Caricaceae.
AUUAAUUUAUAUAUACUUGCACAAUAAUAACUAAUUGAGAAGGUUGGUCGUGGGAGAUUAGCAACCUUUUGCAAGUCUUUCUUCGUAAUUAAAAUGUUGAAGAUCACAGGAAAAGGAAAAUUGCAGGAGAAAAAGAAUCAAAGCAGAAAUGAAAAAUAUGGAGUGCAUGUAUAUUUAUAAAGUAUACCCAUAUCUAUAUAUGUAAUACAAUAGCAUCACAAUAAAUUAAAUACACACUAAAGUACAACGGUAUAUAUCAAUCAAUAAAGCGGCUGCCAAGCUCAUACAUCGCAUAAAUAUAUAAUCUCAAUUUUAAAAAAUGUUAAAGAGAAAACAACAAAAGAAAUACUCAAACUGGUAGCUAGUGCAUAGAAGAGAAACAAUAUUUAUAGAUAUAUCUGUGUGUGUGUGUGCAUAUAUAUAAAUAUAGGUUAAUCAAGGACUAGUUGUAGCAGGAGGAGGUGAGGGGAGUGGGAGAGAGGGGAUU